Molecule: non-coding RNA, 84 nt
Filed under: Gracilibacillus kekensis
Lineage: Bacteria; Bacillati; Bacillota; Bacilli; Caryophanales; Bacillaceae
Description: c-di-GMP-II sequence
Rfam family: Cyclic di-GMP-II riboswitch aptamer
Source: Rfam by way of RNAcentral
AGUUAGAACAGAGACAUUGAUCAUUUACCUUAAUUUGGGCACUUUGGCAAAUGGGAGUUAGUAGUGCAACCGGCUGGCAUCAUA